GAUGAACGCUGGCGGCGUGCCUAAUACAUGCAAGUCGAGCGAACAGACGAGGAGCUUGCUCCUCUGACGUUAGCGGCGGACGGGUGAGUAACACGUGGAUAACCUACCUAUAAGACUGGGAUAACUUCGGGAAACCGGAGCUAAUACCGGAUAAUAUAUUGAACCGCAUGGUUCAAUAGUGAAAGACGGUUUUGCUGUCACUUAUAGAUGGAUCCGCGCCGCAUUAGCUAGUUGGUAAGGUAACGGCUUACCAAGGCAACGAUGCGUAGCCGACCUGAGAGGGUGAUCGGCCACACUGGAACUGAGACACGGUCCAGACUCCUACGGGAGGCAGCAGUAGGGAAUCUUCCGCAAUGGGCGAAAGCCUGACGGAGCAACGCCGCGUGAGUGAUGAAGGUCUUCGGAUCGUAGAACUCUGUUAUUAGGGAAGAACAAAUGUGUAAGUAACUAUGCACGUCUUGACGGUACCUAAUCAGAAAGCCACGGCUAACUACG
This 495-nucleotide ribosomal RNA is filed under the name uncultured bacterium. RNAcentral describes it as "partial 16S ribosomal RNA". It matches the Rfam family "Bacterial small subunit ribosomal RNA", at positions 28 to 505 of the family's 1533-position model. The record is from RNAcentral.